GACGAACGCUGGCGGCGCGCUUAACACAUGCAAGUCGAACGGAAAGGCCUGCUUUCCCUUGUGGAUUGCGGGUACUCGAGUGGCGAACGGGUGAGUAACACGUGAGUGAUCUGCCCCCAACUUGGGUAUAAGCCUGGGAAACUGGGUCUAAUUCCCGAUAGGACUGCAGGGUGGUGCCUGUGGUGGAACACGAUUUUCUAGUGGUUGGGGAUGAGCUCGCGGCCUAUCAGCUUGUUGGUGGGGUAAUGGCCUACCAAGGCGGCGACGGGUAGCCGGCCUGAGAGGGUGGACGGCCACAUUGGGACUGAGAUACGGCCCAGACUCCUACGGGAGGCAGCAGUGGGGAAUAUUGCACAAUGGGGGGAAGCCUGAUGCAGCGACGCCGCGUGGGGGAUGACGGCCUUCGGGUUGUAAACUCCUUUCGACCGCGAGGAAGCCACCUGGUUGGAAGGGUGGUGACGGUAGUGGGAGAAGAAGCACCGGCUAACUACG
Molecule: ribosomal RNA, 492 nt
Filed under: uncultured bacterium
Lineage: Bacteria
Description: partial 16S ribosomal RNA
Rfam family: Bacterial small subunit ribosomal RNA
Source: RNAcentral